RNAcentral lists this ribosomal RNA (1412 nucleotides) under metagenome. RNAcentral describes it as "bacterial SSU rRNA". It matches the Rfam family "Bacterial small subunit ribosomal RNA". The record is from RNAcentral.
UGUUUUCGGACAAUGGAUGUAGAGGAAAGUGGCGGACGGGUGAGUAACGCGUGAGGAACCUGCCUUGAAGAGGGGGACAACAGUUGGAAACGACUGCUAAUACCGCAUGAUGCAUAGGGGUCGCAUGAUCUUUAUGCCAAAGAUUUAUCGCUUCAAGAUGGCCUCGCGUCUGAUUAGCUAGUUGGCGGGGUAACGGCCCACCAAGGCGACGAUCAGUAGCCGGACUGAGAGGUUGAACGGCCACAUUGGGACUGAGAUACGGCCCAGACUCCUACGGGAGGCAGCAGUGGGGAAUAUUGGGCAAUGGGCGCAAGCCUGACCCAGCAACGCCGCGUGAAGGAAGAAGGCUUUCGGGUUGUAAACUUCUUUUAAGAGGGAAGAGCAGAAGACGGUACCUCUAGAAUAAGCCACGGCUAACUACGUGCCAGCAGCCGCGGUAAUACGUAGGUGGGAAGCGUUGUCCGGAUUUACUGGGUGUAGAGGGCGUGCAGCCGGGUCUGCAAGUCAGAUGUGAAAUCAUGGGCUCAACCCAUGAACUGCAUUUGAAACUGUAGAUCUUGAGUGUCGGAGGGGCAAUCGGAAUUCCUAGUGUAGCGGUGAAAUGCGUAGAUAUUAGGAGGAACACCAGUGGCGAAGGCGGAUUGCUGGACGAUAACUGACGGUGAGGCGCGAAAGUGUGGGGAGCAAACAGGAUUAGAUACCCUGGUAGUCCACACUGUAAACGAUGAAUACUAGGUGUGCGGGGACUGACCCCCUGCGUGCCGCAGUAAACACAAUAAGUAUUCCACCUGGGGAGUACGAUCGCAAGGUUGAAACUCAAAGGAAUUGACGGGGGCCCGCACAAGCGGUGGAUUAUGUGGUUUAAUUCGAAGCAACGCGAAGAACCUUACCAGGGUUUGACAUCCUGCUAACGAAGUAGAGAUACAUUAGGUGCCCUUCGGGGAAAGCAGAGACAGGUGGUGCAUGGUUGUCGUCAGCUCGUGUCGUGAGAUGUUGGGUUAAGUCCCGCAACGAGCGCAACCCCUAUUGUUAGUUGCUACGCAAGAGCACUCUAGCGAGACUGCCGUUGACAAAACGGAGGAAGGUGGGGACGACGUCAAAUCAUCAUGCCCCUUAUAUCCUGGGCUACACACGUAAUACAAUGGCGGUCAACAGAGGGAAGCAAAGCCGCGAGGCAGAGCAAACCCCCAAAAGCCGUCCCAGUUCGGAUUGUAGGCUGCAACUCGCCUGCAUGAAGUCGGAAUCGCUAGUAAUCGCGGAUCAGCAUGCCGCGGUGAAUACGUUCCCGGGCCUCGUACACACCGCCCGUCACACCAUGAGAGUCGGGAACACCCGAAGUCCGUAGCCUAACCAGCAAUGGAGGGCGCGGCCGAAGGUGGGUUCGAUAAUUGGGGUGAAGUCGUAACAAGGUA